Molecule: long non-coding RNA, 209 nt
Organism: Thalassophryne amazonica
Lineage: Eukaryota; Metazoa; Chordata; Actinopteri; Batrachoidiformes; Batrachoididae
Exons: 3
Source: RefSeq, a predicted model, not a curated record
AAUUCAGAGAUUGUUAUUUAGGACAUAAAAUAGGUGCAGGGAAAGUGGGUUGUGCUUGUGUAACUCAGGACAGUCAUGAAUUUUGGGGAUGGAAAUUCAGAGAUUGUUAUUUAGGACACAAAAUAGGUGCAGGGAAAGUGGAUUGUGCUUGUGUAACAGACUGUCAUGAAAUUUGGGGAUGGGAAUUCAGAGUUUUCUUUUUUAGGAAG